GAGAUCUAGCAUGUGCGCGAGUCAUUGGGACUAGCGAAACCUAAAGGCGAAAUGAAAGUGAAGGUCGGCCUUGCGCCGACCUAGGGAGGAUGGGCCGCGCCACGUCGCGGCCCCGCACUCCCGGGGCGUCUCGCUCUCAUCGCGAGAAGAGGCGCACCCAGAGCGUACACGCUGGGACCCGAAAGAUGGUGAACUAUGCCUGGUCAGGACGAAGUCAGGGGAAACCCUGAUGGAGGUCCGAAGCGAUUCUGACGUGCAAAUCGAUCGUCGGAACUGGGUAUAGGGGCGAAAGACUAAUCGAACCAUCUAGUAGCUGGUUCCCUCCGAAGUUUCCCUCAGGAUAGCUGGCGCUCGCUUUUGCGAGUCUCAUCUGGUAAAGCGAAUGAUUAGAGGCAUUGGGGUCGAAACGGCCUCAACCUAUUCUCAAACUUUAAAUGGGUGAGAUCUCCGGCUUGCUUGAACAGUGAAGCCGCGAGAUCGGAUCAGAGUGCCAAGUGGGCCAUUUUUGGUAAGCAGAACUGGCGCUGUGGGAUGAACCAAACGCAGAGUUAAAGCUCCUAAAUCAACGCUUAUGGGAUACCAUGAAAGGCGUUGGUAACUUAAGACAGCAGGACGGUGGCCAUGGAA
RNAcentral lists this ribosomal RNA (627 nucleotides) under Dictyopterini sp. UPOL A00519. Its description in RNAcentral is "eukaryotic LSU rRNA". It matches the Rfam family "Eukaryotic large subunit ribosomal RNA", at positions 674 to 1259 of the family's 3401-position model. The record is from RNAcentral. Lineage: Eukaryota; Metazoa; Arthropoda; Insecta; Coleoptera; Lycidae.